This 844-nucleotide ribosomal RNA is filed under the name Streptomyces sp. RNAcentral's name for it is "bacterial SSU rRNA". It matches the Rfam family "Bacterial small subunit ribosomal RNA", at positions 56 to 914 of the family's 1533-position model. The record is from RNAcentral. Lineage: Bacteria; Bacillati; Actinomycetota; Actinomycetes; Kitasatosporales; Streptomycetaceae.
UGCAGUCGACGAUGAACCGGUUUCGGCCGGGGAUUAGUGGCGAACGGGUGAGUAACACGUGGGCAAUCUGCCCUGCACUCUGGGACAAGCCCUGGAAACGGGGUCUAAUACCGGAUAUGACACGCUCCCGCAUGGGAUGCGUGUGGAAAGCUCCGGCGGUGCAGGAUGAGCCCGCGGCCUAUCAGCUUGUUGGUGGGGUGAUGGCCUACCAAGGCGACGACGGGUAGCCGGCCUGAGAGGGCGACCGGCCACACUGGGACUGAGACACGGCCCAGACUCCUACGGGAGGCAGCAGUGGGGAAUAUUGCACAAUGGGCGAAAGCCUGAUGCAGCGACGCCGCGUGAGGGAUGACGGCCUUCGGGUUGUAAACCUCUUUCAGCAGGGAAGAAGCGAGAGUGACGGUACCUGCAGAAGAAGCGCCGGCUAACUACGUGCCAGCAGCCGCGGUAAUACGUAGGGCGCAAGCGUUGUCCGGAAUUAUUGGGCGUAAAGAGCUCGUAGGCGGCUUGUCGCGUCGGAUGUGAAAGCCCGGGGCUUAACCCCGGGUCUGCAUUCGAUACGGGCAGGCUAGAGUUCGGUAGGGGAGAUCGGAAUUCCUGGUGUAGCGGUGAAAUGCGCAGAUAUCAGGAGGAACACCGGUGGCGAAGGCGGAUCUCUGGGCCGACACUGACGCUGAGGAGCGAAAGCGUGGGGAGCGAACAGGAUUAGAUACCCUGGUAGUCCACGCCGUAAACGUUGGGAACUAGGUGUGGGCGACAUUCCACGUCGUCCGCGCCGCAGCUAACGCAUUAAGUUCCCCGCCUGGGGAGUACGGCCGCAAGGCUAAAACUCAAAGGAAUUGAC